Molecule: transfer RNA, 95 nt
Filed under: Klebsiella pneumoniae
Lineage: Bacteria; Pseudomonadati; Pseudomonadota; Gammaproteobacteria; Enterobacterales; Enterobacteriaceae
Description: tRNA-Sec
Rfam family: Selenocysteine transfer RNA
Source: RNAcentral
GGAAGAUCGUCAUCUCCGGUGAGGUGGCUGGACUUCAAAUCCAGUUGGGGCCGCCAGCGGUCCCGGGCAGAUUCAACUCCUGUGAUCUUCCGCCA